RNAcentral lists this small RNA (399 nucleotides) under Vogesella sp. EB. Its description in RNAcentral is "cspA thermoregulator". It matches the Rfam family "cspA thermoregulator". Lineage: Bacteria; Pseudomonadati; Pseudomonadota; Betaproteobacteria; Neisseriales; Chromobacteriaceae. The record is from Rfam by way of RNAcentral.
AACGGUGCUGGCAGGACCUUCAAGCAGCAGAUUGCUUGCGACAUCGUUGAUCCACCUCAAAAGCGGCACGUCAUUGUUACCGGUUUGAUUCCUUGAUCGUCAUGCACCUGGGCAAUUGCCCGUCAAUCUCGUUUUAAAGGAAUUAAAAAUGGAAACUGGUACCGUUAAAUGGUUUAACGAUGCAAAAGGCUUUGGCUUCAUCACUCCAGAUGCAGGCGGCAACGACCUGUUCGCUCACUUCUCCGAAGUGCGCUCGGAAGGCUUCAAAUCGCUGACCGAAGGCCAGAAAGUUAGCUACACCCCAGGUAUGGGUCAAAAAGGCCCACAAGCCACCAAUAUCCAGGCUCUGUAAUUUUUUACAGCGUUUGAUAAAAACCCCGCUACGGCGGGGUUUUUUGU